GGUGUAUAAAAGCUCGCGCUUCGCGCUAUGACGCCCUCUUGAAGUCGUUGCUUCGCUUGUGGAGAAACGCUUCCAACAUGAGAGCGAAGUGGAGAAAGAAGCGCAUGCGCAGGCUGAAGCGUAAAAGGAGAAAGAUGAGGCAGAGGUCCAAGUAAACAGCACCCUGUCUGCUGUAGCUGGGAUCCUGAUCAUCUUGGAUUUCCCUCAGUGAGUCUUGCAGAGACCAACUGGAGAGGUGCUGUUCAUCCUUCGCCUAAGAAGAAGCUGUCUACACGACAUCCAUCCAAGCCAGCCAUCACCUUGACGGAAGAAGUGUCCUCUUCCUGGCUGCCCAGUUGGUUCUUGGUCUUGAUGGACUUGCAAACUCUGGACAUUCCAUACUUCUCAGCUCAGCAUCUUUUUGUUAAUACCUCCAAUAAAAUGUUUAAAACGUG
Molecule: long non-coding RNA, 434 nt
Organism: Colossoma macropomum (tambaqui)
Lineage: Eukaryota; Metazoa; Chordata; Actinopteri; Characiformes; Serrasalmidae
Exons: 4
Source: RefSeq, a predicted model, not a curated record